AUUGAACGCUGGCGGCAGGCCUAACACAUGCAAGUCGAACGAGUGGCGGACGGGUGAGUAGUGUCUGGGAAACUGCCCGAUGGAGGGGGAUAACUACUGGAACCGGUAGCUAAUCCCGCAUACCAUCGGAUGUGCCCGGAUGGGAUUAGCUAGUAGGUGGGGUAACGGCUCACCUAGGCGACGCUCCCUAGCUGGUCUGAGAGGAUGACCAGCAACCCUGGAACUGGGACACGGUCCAGACUCCUCAGGGAGGCAGCAGAGGGGAAUAUUGCACAAGGGGCGAAAUCCUGAUGCAGCCAGGCCGCGUGUAUGAAGAAGGCCUUCGGGUUGUAAAGUACUUUCAGCGAGGAGGCGUUACUCACAGAGGAAGCACCGGCUAACUCCGUGCCAGCAGCCGCGGUAAUAC
RNAcentral lists this ribosomal RNA (406 nucleotides) under uncultured bacterium. Its description in RNAcentral is "partial 16S ribosomal RNA". It matches the Rfam family "Bacterial small subunit ribosomal RNA", at positions 30 to 526 of the family's 1533-position model. The record is from RNAcentral.